This 192-nucleotide ribosomal RNA is filed under the name uncultured bacterium. Its description in RNAcentral is "partial 16S ribosomal RNA". It matches the Rfam family "Bacterial small subunit ribosomal RNA", at positions 1307 to 1500 of the family's 1533-position model. The record is from RNAcentral.
GCAACUCGCCUGCAUGAAGUCGGAAUUGCUAGUAAUCGCAGAUCAGCAUGCUGCGGUGAAUACGUUCCCGGGCCUUGUACACACCGCCCGUCACACCAUGAGAGUUGGGAAUACCCGAAGCCUGUGAGCUAACUAUACGAGGCAGCAGUCGAAGGUAGAAUCGAUGAUUGGGUGAAGUCGUAACAAGGUAAC